AGCCAAUGAGGACAUUG
RNAcentral lists this small RNA (17 nucleotides) under Arabidopsis thaliana (thale cress). RNAcentral describes it as "ATSL072930". Lineage: Eukaryota; Viridiplantae; Streptophyta; Magnoliopsida; Brassicales; Brassicaceae. The record is from RNAcentral.